Oncorhynchus keta (chum salmon) is the source of this 382-nucleotide long non-coding RNA. RefSeq lists it as uncharacterized. Lineage: Eukaryota; Metazoa; Chordata; Actinopteri; Salmoniformes; Salmonidae. The transcript has 3 exons. The record is from RefSeq and is a predicted model, not a curated record.
AGCAGCAUGACCAUUGAGGAAGUGGGGGCAGAGUAAAGACUAUGACCAUAGGGGGAGCAGCAUGACCAUUGAGGAGGUGGGGGCAGAGUAAAGACUAUGACCAUAGGGGGAGCAGCAUGACCAUUGAGGAGGUGGGGGCAGAGUAAAGACUAUGACCAUAGGGGGAGCAGCAUGACCAUUGAGGAGGUGGGGGCAGAGUAAAGACUAUGACCAUAGGGGGAGCAGCAUGACCAUUGAGGAGGUGGGGGCAGAGUAAAGACUAUGACCAUAGGGGGAGCAGCAUGACCAUUGAGGAGGUGGGGGCAGAGUAAAGACUAUGACCAUAGGGGGAGCAGCAUGACCAUUGAGGAGGUGGGGGCAGAGUAAAGACUAUGACCAUAGG